AUUGAACGCUGGCGGCAUGCCUUACACAUGCAAGUCGAACGGCAGCAUGAUCUAGCUUGCUAGAUUGAUGGCGAGUGGCGAACGGGUGAGUAUAAAACAGCACCUUCCCCUUUUUCGGGGGUUAACAGGUGGAAAAAUUGACUAUAAUACCUCAGACCCGAUGGGGGAAAGAGGGGGCCGUCAUGGCACCUUGCUCUAGUGAGGGCGAUGUUUGAUUAGCUAGUUGGGGGGGUAAAGGCCCACCAAGGCGACGAUCAGUAGCUGGUCUGAGAGGACGAUCAGCCACACUGGAACUGAGACACGGCCCAGACUCCUACGGGAGGCAGCAGUGGGGAAUUUUGGACAAUGGGGGCAAGCCUGAUCCAGCAAUGCCGCGUGUGUGAAGAAGGCCUUCGGGUUGUAAAGCACUUUUGUUCGGAAAGAAAACGCACUUACUAAUAUUAGGUUGGUAUGACGGUACCGGAAGAAUAAGGACCGGCUAACUACGUG
RNAcentral lists this ribosomal RNA (489 nucleotides) under uncultured bacterium. RNAcentral describes it as "partial 16S ribosomal RNA". It matches the Rfam family "Bacterial small subunit ribosomal RNA", at positions 30 to 507 of the family's 1533-position model. The record is from RNAcentral.